Molecule: ribosomal RNA, 492 nt
Filed under: uncultured bacterium
Lineage: Bacteria
Description: partial 16S ribosomal RNA
Rfam family: Bacterial small subunit ribosomal RNA
Source: RNAcentral
AGUGAACGCUGGCGGUAGGCCUAACACAUGCAAGUCGAACGGCAGCACAGUAAGAGCUUGCUCUUACGGGUGGCGAGUGGCGGACGGGUGAGGAAUACAUCGGAAUCUACUUUUUCGUGGGGGAUAACGUAGGGAAACUUACGCUAAUACCGCAUACGACCUACGGGUGAAAGCAGGGGAUCUUCGGACCUUGCGCGAUUGAAUGAGCCGAUGUCGGAUUAGCUAGUUGGCGGGGUAAAGGCCCACCAAGGCGACGAUCCGUAGCUGGUCUGAGAGGAUGAUCAGCCACACUGGAACUGAGACACGGUCCAGACUCCUACGGGAGGCAGCAGUGGGGAAUAUUGGACAAUGGGCGCAAGCCUGAUCCAGCCAUACCGCGUGGGUGAAGAAGGCCUUCGGGUUGUAAAGCCCUUUUGUUGGGAAAGAAAAGCAGCAGGUUAAUACCACGCUGUUCUGACGGUACCCAAAGAAUAAGCACCGGCUAACUUCGCG